Molecule: ribosomal RNA, 539 nt
Filed under: uncultured bacterium
Lineage: Bacteria
Description: bacterial SSU rRNA
Rfam family: Bacterial small subunit ribosomal RNA
Source: RNAcentral
UGGGGAAUAUUGGACAAUGGUCGAAAGGCUGACGCAGCGACGCCGCGUGAAGGAUGAAGUCCGUUAGGAUGUAAACUUCUUUUGCGGGGGACGAACGAAGCGCUAUAGGCGUUUGUGACGGUACCCCGUGAAUAAGGAUCGGCUAACUACGUGCCAGCAGCCGCGGUAAUACGUAGGAUCCGAGCGUUGUCCGGAAUUAUUGGGUGUAAAGGGCGCGUAGGUGGGCGUCUAAGUCGGUGGUGAAAUCUUGCAGCUUAACUGUAAAACUGCCAUCGAAACUGGACGUCUUGAGUACGGCAGAGGGAAAUGGAAUUCAUGGUGUAGCGGUGAAAUGUGUAGAUAUCAUGAAGAACACCAGUAGCGAAGGCGGUUUCCUGGUCCGUUACUGACACUGAGGCGCGAAAGCGUGGGGAGCAAACAGGAUUAGAUACCCUGGUAGUCCACGCCUUAAACGAUGGGUACUCGGUGCUGGGCCGCAAGGUUCAGUGCCAAAGCUAACGCAUUAAGUACCCCACCUGGGGAGUACGAUCGCAAGGUUG